This 253-nucleotide ribosomal RNA is filed under the name uncultured bacterium. RNAcentral's name for it is "partial 16S ribosomal RNA". It matches the Rfam family "Bacterial small subunit ribosomal RNA", at positions 524 to 776 of the family's 1533-position model. The record is from RNAcentral.
GACGAACCGUCCAAACGUUAUUCGGUAUCACUGGGCUUAAAGCGUGCGUAGGCGGCCCGAAAGGUGAGGUGUGAAAUCCCACGGCUCAACCGUGGAAUUGCGCUUCAAACCAUCGGGCUGGAGGAAGGCAGGGGUGAGCGGAACUGAUGGUGGAGCGGUGAAAUGCGUUGAUAUCAUCAGGAACACCGGUGGCGAAAGCGGCUCACUGGGCCUUUUCUGACGCUGAGGCACGAAAGCUAGGGGAGCAAACGGG